Molecule: long non-coding RNA, 194 nt
Organism: Xenia sp. Carnegie-2017
Lineage: Eukaryota; Metazoa; Cnidaria; Anthozoa; Malacalcyonacea; Xeniidae
Exons: 3
Source: RefSeq, a predicted model, not a curated record
ACUGAAAACCGUCCAUGGACGUACCUGUCACUUUCCGUUUAAAUAUAAAGGCGUGACAUAUACAUCCUGUACUGAUGUUGACAGUCCUGGAUGGUACUGGUGUAUAACUGCUGUUGGUUCUUUAAAUUGGGAUUAUUGUCUUGUCAAACAAGAUUCAGCUACAGCAACAACCACAGCUACAGCAACAACCAUAG